ACGGAGGGCUUGCCCUUCUGAUCAGUGGCGAACGGGUGAGUAACACGUGAGUAACCUGCCCUUCACUCUGGGAUAACGCUGGGAAACCGGUGCUAAUACUGGAUAUGACCUACUCGGGCAUCCGAUGUGGGUGGAAAGAUUUAUUGGUGGAGGAUGGACUCGCGGCCUAUCAGCUUGUUGGUGAGGUAAUGGCUCACCAAGGCGACGACGGGUAGCCGGCCUGAGAGGGCGAUCGGCCACACUGGGACUGAGACACGGCCCAGACUCCUACGGGAGGCAGCAGUGGGGAAUAUUGCACAAUGGGCGAAAGCCUGAUGCAGCGACGCCGCGUGAGGGAUGAAGGCCUUCGGGUUGUAAACCUCUUUCAGCAGGGAAGAAGCGGCCGGGUUUUCUUGGUUGUGACGGUACCUGCAGAAGAAGCACCGGCUAACUACGUGCCAGCAGCCGCGGUAAUACGUAGGGUGCAAGCGUUGUCCGGAAUUAUUGGGCGUAAAGAGCUUGUAGGCGGUUUGUCGCGUCUGCUGUGAAAUUUCGGGGCUCAACCCCGAACUUGCAGUGGGUACGGGCAGACUAGAGUGUGGUAGGGGAGACUGGAAUUCCUGGUGUAGCGGUGAAAUGCGCAGAUAUCAGGAGGAACACCGAUGGCGAAGGCAGGUCUCUGGGCCACUACUGACGCUGAGAAGCGAAAGCAUGGGGAGCGAACAGGAUUAGAUACCCUGGUAGUCCAUGCCGUANACGUUGGGAACUAGGUGUGGGCCUCAUUCNACGAGGUCCGUGCCGCAGCUAACGCAUUAAGUUCCCCGCCUGGGGAGUACGGCCGCAAG
This 824-nucleotide ribosomal RNA is filed under the name uncultured bacterium. RNAcentral's name for it is "bacterial SSU rRNA". It matches the Rfam family "Bacterial small subunit ribosomal RNA", at positions 71 to 892 of the family's 1533-position model. The record is from RNAcentral.